Molecule: ribosomal RNA, 468 nt
Filed under: uncultured bacterium
Lineage: Bacteria
Description: partial 16S ribosomal RNA
Rfam family: Bacterial small subunit ribosomal RNA
Source: RNAcentral
GACGAACGCUGGCGGCGUGCUUAACACAUGCAAGUCGAACGGAAAGGCCCUGCUUUUGUGGGGUGCUCGAGUGGCGAACGGGUGAGUAACACGUGAGUAACCUGCCCUUGACUUUGGGAUAACUUCAGGAAACUGGGGCUAAUACCGGAUAGGAGCUCCUGCUGCAUGGUGGGGGUUGGAAAGUCUCGGCGGUUGGGGAUGGACUCGCGGCUUAUCAGCUUGUUGGUGGGGUAGUGGCUUACCAAGGCUUUGACGGGUAGCCGGCCUGAGAGGGUGACCGGCCACAUUGGGACUGAGAUACGACCCAGACUCCUACGGGAGGCAGCAGUGGGGAAUAUUGCACAAUGGGCGGAAGCCUGAUGCAGCAACGCCGCGUGCGGGAUGACGGCCUUCGGGUUGUAAACCGCUUUCGCCUGUGACGAAGCGUGAGUGACGGUAAUGGGUAAAGAAGCACCGGCUAACUACGUG